Molecule: RNA transcript, 2788 nt
Organism: Haplochromis burtoni (Burton's mouthbrooder)
Lineage: Eukaryota; Metazoa; Chordata; Actinopteri; Cichliformes; Cichlidae
Exons: 3
Source: RefSeq, a predicted model, not a curated record
AGACCUGCCAGAUGUGACGAUGGCAUAAAUUUGCCAGUAGAUGUCAGCGUGAAGAUGUUUGUCGUUGUUUUGAAACUUGUAUUGUUUUGAUACAAUUCCAGUACAAUUGCCUCAAACGUGUUUCAAAAAACCUCUGUAUUUCUUUUCCAUCAUAAAAAUGUAGCAGUUUUGAAGUCGUGCAUGGAUUCUUUAUGGGACGGCAACUCUUGUUUGUUUGUAUUCUGUAACGCGGAAGUGCCAACAUCGGACUUCAGGUGAAGACUUCUAUAUUCUACUUCACAACCAGAAAAACCCAGAAGAAGCCAGAAUCUUCUGGAAAACAAAGGUUAUAUAAACUACGCCUGCACAAUGAUUUCAUUUUUUACGCAGCUUUUGCCUGACCAUGAAGUUGUAAGCGAAACGAUAGCCGUUCUUUUAUUUUCACCGAUCGCUUUAAAUUGGUUUCGCUAAUAAUAAAUAAUUUGAUUCAUUCAAUUGAAUUUAUUUGUCGGAGUUUUAUUUAAUUUUUGUAAGUUUUAACCAAGUGAAAAUGGCUGGAAUAUCUCUGCUAUCAGUGCUAUUUGUCAUGCAGAUGACAUCGUCCUCUGCGGAGCCAAGAGGGGGAGCAACUGAUGGUGGGCAAAAGAGCUUCAUGAAACCUUAGAGCCACAGUUUGGAGUCUCUUGAUCUAAGAGUUGGUUGGGAAGGAGCUAGUGUACAGUUUUGUGCAGCUGUCUGAAUAUCCUUUUACCUCCCCGGUCUGUCCAAAGGAAAAGGUGACACAUAUAUUUCAAAAAGGCACAUUCAAGAUCAACAAGGUGCUGGAUGUUGCCUUACUACAGUCCCUGUCACCCACACAUGUUACCUAGAUGUAGGUGACAUGAGCUUGUGUGCACACUAAAGCUUGUUGGCACAUUCUCCCAUGUGAUGACACCUGCACUUGCAUAAUGUGAUGGGUUAUACACACUGUGGGAUCAUGAUCACAUGCCCUUAACCUGGAGGUAGCAGUAGAGACUGACAUUUUACCCCCUGAGAAUUUUGACCUAUUGCUCUUAAAACCUUAGGCAUACCUAUUUACAACUCUAUGAGUCUCCCACAGGUCCAUGUGAGUCCCAAGACUUCUUUCUACUCCGAAUUAUAUUUCUGACCUGCUAACACUUUGGUGUCCUACUUUGAAUCUUACACAUGCAAGACAGUUGUCGGUUUGCUCUUCCAUUAGGGCAAUAAAUCCUCUUCAUCACCUUCCAUCUUCUUCAAGAGUGAGUCUUAAAGAAGUGAGUGAAGGUGAUGAUCUCUUUCUGCAAACUGUGGUGUGAGCUCUGCUUGCUUGUUUGUCAUUUUCAUGACACUACAUAGCUCACGUUUAUUAACCGGCUCAACAUUUCUCUGACUGCUGCUGUCUUGUGUGCAUCCCACUUUACUUCAGUUUUUGAGAUUAACUAUGAAUUUAACUUAUCAACUAUCUAACAUUUUUGUUUCAUGAGUUCUAUAAGAAUUUUCUGCCAAUGAUAGUAAAGAGGAAAUGUGAUCACUUUUGUUAAUUUUAUUGGUCAUUUCAUUCAAAUUCACCUUUUCAAAAUAAACUGGGUGAUGGCCGGUCUGCCAGAUAAUGUGCUCCAUCUGGUUCGGUUCAGGAGAGCUCAGCAGUCUCUUUGUCAUCCUCACUCAGAUUAGCUGCUGUAUAUGUGAACAUUUGUACUUUUAACCUCUCUGCUCUGUGUUGUUUCAUCUUUCAGAUCACAGAAACAUCACAUCUGGACAAAAGAACGUCACUCUGACAUGUCGAGCUCCUAACAACAACACCAUUAUUAUUGUAGAGUGGAGCAGAGCUGACCUGGGAGAUAAAUAUGUGCUUUUGUACCGGAAUGAACGCUUUGAUCCAGACAACCAGCAUCCAUCUUUUAAGAACCGGGUGGAUCUGAAGGACAGACAGAUGAAGGAUGGAGACGUGUCUCUGAUUCUGAAGAAUGUGACGAUUAAUGACACUGGAACAUACGAGUGUUGUGUCAAGAACGAGCUAGACAGUAUGAGGCUCAUCAACAGCAUCGACCUUCAUGUUGUUCCUCCAGGUCAGACAGGAGGACACACAGAGGAUGGAUCUGUUGGACUGAAAGUUUGUCUUCCAGUUGUUAUUUUCCUUCUUCUUGUUGGUAGUGCCUUUGUUGGUUAUUUGAUCUACAGAAAAUAUAAACAACGUAGCCAGGACUCAUAUUGCCCCACCACUGAACCACAGAUUGAAAUGUCUCAGAGAUUUCUGAGUUCUGAAUCGCCUGCUAAUGAACACAAUGACAGAAAUGACCCGGAAGAAAACAGCUGUCACCAACACUCCACAAGGAUUCCUGAUGCCACUCUGACACUUGAGAAUGAACUACUUCAUCCUCAUACUCCUCAGGAAACAGCAGGACUCCUUCCAGAGAGUGACAUCAGAGUGCAGUAGAUAAUGUCUGACAGCAGUUUGAAGAGCAAAUGGAUUCUGUUCUGUUCUUCACUCAUCACCUACCUGACAGCUGACACCUCACACCUGUUUCUCACCUGCAGGUCAGCCAGGAGGACUCGGAAAAUAUGGGGGGAAGAAGGAAUGGAGUCAAUAGACAUCUUGGACUGGUAGCUGUUAUAUCAGUUGUUGUGCAAUUUGCCUGCUUGUGAUGACUAUAAAACUGAUGAAGAAUUCUCGCCUCUGUCCAGUGAUGAAGAGCAGGGAAAGAAAGCAAUAUAUUUAUAUUUCACUCGUCACAGUGAAAAAAACAGGUGCAACAAGCUCGACAUUUUUAAAUGAGAAUAAGAAAGAAAAGUAUUUCUUUGUGCCCCC